Phalacrocorax carbo (great cormorant) is the source of this 4874-nucleotide non-coding RNA. NCBI's taxonomy places the organism in Eukaryota, Metazoa, Chordata, Aves, Suliformes, Phalacrocoracidae. The record is from RefSeq and is a predicted model, not a curated record.
UUCCCGCACCACCACCCCCCUCCCCAAAACCGGGGAGGGGGGGGGCGUUUGGGGGCGUCCCUCCGCCGGCAGCCCCGGGGGGGGAACCCGCCUCCUCGGCCGGGCCUCGCACCGGGGACGUCGACGACGGGGGUAACCGGGGAACCCCCUCCAGUGUCGCCCCCACCCCGGCGGGCGGCGGCAGCGCCCCUUUCUAAAGCCAGGCCUAGGCCUCUCCCUAGAGCUGGGGGGGUUGGACCUGCAAACCCCCAAACCCCCCGUGGGGUGAGGGUCCCCCAUUACGGGAGGGGAGGCCUAACACACCCCCCACCAUCCUUAUUUUAGGGGGAGGUUUAUCCCCUUCCGUGGCUUGACAGCCAGCAGCUGGGGUGCCCUGGGGGUGUCCCUGCAGGUGUCGUCCCCCCACCCCUUGGUGACUGCCUCCCUCCCAACCUGGGUGCCCUGCACCCCCCCCCAGCCUGUGGCCCAGCCACCGGGGGAGGGCGAGGAAGGGGAGAGCAGCCACAGCCCAAAGAAAGGCUUUUGUGGUGUUUAUUAUUAUUUACUCCUUGAUUUCAGCCUGCGGUUCACAAAGCUUCUGGUGCUGGCUUAGGGAUUUAAUUUGGGGGGGGGAGCAGUGGGGGAUAUGCCCCCCCACCGCCCUGGGGACUGGCCAUGGCUGGGUGAUGGGGGGGCUUGGGACAGCGGGCUGGGGCCCGCAGCCCAUCUUGCAAAUGGUCCCGUUUAUGUAACGCUCCAGGUUGGGUUAGGCUUUAUUAUUUUUAUUCCCCCCCCCCCCCCCUUAUGUGAUAGAUCUGUUUAUAUUUUUCCUCCUUCAUUUUUAUUCUUGGCCCUUUACAGGGUGGCGAAUCCUUUUUCUCCCUGUCUGGAGUGUGGGUGGCGUUGAAAAAUAUCAUUGGGAAUUUGGUUCUAGGAUUGUUUUAUUAAUAGUUUUUGUUUACAAGGUGGCAGUGUGUGCUGGAGGGGUUAGAAAUGACAAGAGUGGCUGAAAUGUUUUUCAGCUCUUGUUGACUGAACGUGCCUGACCUCCCUCAGCCAGGACUCGGGUCUGGUGGCUCUAACUUGGCGUGUCGAGGGGUCGAGAAACGGGUCUGAUUUAGUUUCCAGAGAGAGAUAAACAAACUCACUUGGAUUUUGUGUUGUUUUUUUUUUUUGAGGGGGGUGGGAGGGAGGAGCAGCACCGCUCCUGUUUGUAGCAUAGGGUGGCUUAUCGAAGGAAACUUCUGUUUGACGUUCAGCCUGCGCGUUCUCUCUACAAAGCUGCUCUUCGUAUAUUUUUCGCCUUGUUUUUAAGCAAAUAGGAAAUGACUACCGAUCAUGCUUGAAUCUGAGCUAUUUUUAUCCGGGGGUUUAAAGUUACACACAUGUCAGACUCUGCCGAACGCCAAUUGCGAUCAAUGCUUAAUCGCACCGGGAGGAGGGUCGGGAUUUCCAGCUGUUUAGUGUGGAGGGGGGAAAAUAAAAUCUUCCUUAGGGAUAGUCUGGAAAGAGGUCUGGGCUGGAGAGGGGCUGAGGCCCAACCUGAUCCGCUGCUGCUCUCCUUUCCCCUCCCCCCCCCCCUUUUUUUUUUUCUUCCCCCUUUUUGUUCGAUUUCUAGCCAGCAUCUUCAGCGAUGGCAGCAUUUUAGGAGACAAAGAGCAGGUUUUUUCUGAAGUGGCUUCGCUUGCUCUGUGUUUCUAGCAGCGGCCGGGCUGUGUGGUGGUAGGUAGAAAGCCCCGAAUAUCUGGCAUUCCUCCCGACGCUGGGUAGUUUCCGCUCUGCUCUCUUUCUCCCCCCGCGACAAAAGAAACCCAAGGUUUUUCCAAAAGCGAAGCUCAUGUUGUGAGCAAAGCCUUCCCGGUGUUUUGAGGGGUGAGGGUUAGAGCGGUCGGUCUGCUGUGGACAACAAACUUAGGAAGUUGGAUGUGUCAGAUGACUCUCCUCACCACUCCUCCCUCCCCAGCCUUUUUUGUUUGUCUGCCUGGCUUGCCUUGCCUGCCCGGGUGAGCGCAGCUCGCUAGGCCCAGGCUCCCGAGACGCUUCCCUGGGGAAUCUUCCUCUCUGGAAGCUGGUCUGAAAUAAGGGGCUGGUUCCAGAUAUGGGAGCAAGGAGGGUCUUGGUGGUGACCAAAGGAAAGAGGGCUCGACUGAAGGAAUGUACUUGAAGACUGCUCCUCCCUGGGGCUUGAGGGUUUUGUUUUUGUGUUGGGUUUUCCUCCACCCCCACCCCCUCACCCCCUCACCCCCCCCGCCUUCUUUUUUGCUGCCAUUUUCAUUACAGUUUCCCUUUUCAGUCCCUUUUCGUGUCUCUGAUGGAGAAUAAUGGCAUGGAUUUAUGGCCUGCCAAGGGCUACCUUUUUGAGUAGGGAGGGGGCGAUGGCCGGAGUGAAUAACACCGCUGCCUUCUCCUGCUCUGACAGGUUUAGGAGCCGAGUUGGGUCUUUUUAUUAUUCCUAUUUUCAAUCCUAACACGUCCGUGUCCUUUUGUGGAUGCCUCUUUGUGAGCAGGGAAGGGGAGAGGUUGCUCAGCUCUCUGGAGCUUGAGGGGGGGCAGGCAGAGCUCUGUGUGUGCGUUAAUGUGUUGAACUGAUGUUUAAUAAUCGCCUGGACGAUUAUGUGCUGAAACUCUGAGUCACUCAUUGUUUCUCUCCCUGAUCGUGCUCGGAACGUUGUGCAAACCCCGGGGAAGGGCCUGUAGUGGGGAGCCACACUGCCUUCCUCCCCUCCUGGGGGGCUGCUGCCCCCCCCCACGCUUACUGAAGUUUUCUGGAUGACCUGUGUACCCGCAGAGUGGGGGGCACUGCCUGCCCCCCACCUGUGAGCAUGGCUUUGCAAGGAGGCUCUGUGUCCCCCAAAAUGCCUCGGGACCCACUCGCCCGUGGCCUGGAAGCGUGGGGAUGUCCCGUGGGCCUGCCGGGAAGCACUCAAGCUCAAGGCCAGGCCUCUCCAGGUAGCCCCCAGCCCAGGCGCCCCAACCCCAACGACUGCAGGGUGCCGGAAGGUGGGGGGAUCCCAUCCCCGGUUCCCCCCAGCUUCAGGGCGAGCUGCUGGCCUUGGAGCCGUGUUUGUAGGCGAGAGGCCUCGGGCAGAGCUCGCAACUCCGCGGAUUGGCUGCUCUGUUACUACCCGGAAACCGGGGCCGGGGCGGAGCGAGCCGGCAGCUGAUGGGGUGCCCCAGCCAGCGUGUUUACACCCAUGGGGGGGGGACAUGCACCCCGGCACCCCGCAGCGCCCCCAGACCGCGGGGCCCUUUUCCGCCAGCCGCAGCCGUUCCAAGCCGGGGUUUAUUGUUCUGCGCCGGGGAGCAACACAGGCACUCCAGGGCGAGCUGUUUGCAGCCUUCCCUUGGACGGGAGUUUAUUUUACACUGAUUUAUUUUCCUCCUUUUGUGGAUAGAUGCUUCUGGCUGGGUUGUAGUCCCCAAGCUCUAUUUUUGAGCAUCGAGGCUGGUAAAGGGAAGUGUCACCCUGUUCUGUGCAUGAAAGGAAUUAUAAAUAGUGCCCAGCUUCAUUUGAAUCUCCCUGUUCUGACCAGUUUACAGAGCUGAAGGUUUGUAGCACGCGUCAGAGCUACCGGGGAGAGUAAUACACGGAGCGUUGCGCUCCCUUCUAAUUUUAGGCUCAUCCUGAGUCAAGGAGAAUAAAGGUACAAAGCUCCUUAGUUUACCUGCGGAGUAUUUUGUAAUCGCAAAACUCCCUGUGUUUGCUCCACUGAGAUCAGCUGAGGCAAAGGGUAGGACAGUUUACAUUUGGGAUAAAUUCCUUUUUACGUUCGUUAUAGGCUUACACCGCACUUAUCAUCCUAUUUGAAUACCUUCCAAGAGUCGCGUUGAGCAAUACGACCGUCACGUGGCUUUGUUCGCUUUGGCCUGUCCCCAGGGGAAGAGCAUGUGCGCUGGAAUGUCUUGCUUUGAGCUGAAUGUGGCGUCUUUGCUGGCGGCUGGGGUUUUUCUUUCCCUCCCCCCCGAAAGGACAGGCUCUUGGCUGGAACUGUAAGUUCACUCUUCCAUUGUUGCCUUGUCAGUUUGAUCGCGGAGGCUAUUGAAGCUGGGGCUUGUCGAACAGACCUGAAAGCACGGUGCACCUGCUUAAUCAUAUAAUUGCGAUGGUCCUUGAGAUGAAACUGUAGAAUAUGAAUUUGGUUAAGGCGGCUUGGAGCGGAGUGCCUGUUCUAGCUUGACAUCCCAGCCCUAUUUAAAAUAAGAAAAAUAAAGCCUUUGUAUCGCUCUGUGUUUGGGUAAUUUUAACUAUUUCUCUGUCUCAUUCCCCAGACUUGGAGCAGUGAUUUUGGUAUUCUGAAUGGUAGCUAGUCAUCUUUAGGAUUAUGCUUAAGGUACCCAGUUCUUAAGACUAAACUGGCCUUAGAUUACUAAAUGCCGAUUAAACAAAUCGUGGAGGCUGUUCCUUUGUAGUAACAUUUAAAAAAAAAAAAAAGUGCAUGCAGGAUUUCAGUAAAACUAGUGGCUUGCCUUGUAAAAUGGUGUCCCUGCUCUCCUUUCUGCUGCUGUGUCUAGAAGGGCGUGCUUGAUAAUUCUUCUCUCUUUUCCAGUGAAGCUGUACCGUGAUCUAAGCAGGCUUGGAUUUGUAGUAGGUGAUUGUUUUUAAGUGUCAUCGCGACUAUCUUACAAUCCCAGCAAGCUUUUGGAAACGCAUCUCACUGAGUGCACUCCCACGUGUUCAACAUUUCUUAGCAGCAGCAGCCAAUAACGUUAGCUUCGAGCAUGGCUGCAAAUCUUGCAAACCCUGUUAAAGUCUUAAUAUGUAGGAUUAAGCAGAAGAUGCCCCUGAUGAGGCUCUGCAUUGUUUCAUUUGCCAGGGAAAUACUACAUAUAAUCUUCAUGUAAGUACGGCUUGCAUUUUGUCCUGGUUCUGGCAUGAAAAUCACAUUCUUUGUUUU